UGAUUUCAUUCAGCCCUCUUUGCAACCACAUAUGUUAAAUGUGGUUGCCAGUUACUAGAGGAAAUUGAGGCUCACAGACAUUCAGUUGCAGAGCCACACGUUUCAAGAUUGAUUUGAGGUCUACAGUGAUUUCUAUGACCACUGACUCCUUCUCCUAUUUAUAUAAUCAUCUGUUUCACAAGUCAAUUAUCAGUUCUUUGAAGUCAGGGAUUAGUUUUGUCUCAGCAACAAUCUUAGUGCUUACAUAAGUAACAGGUGUGAUCAAUAAUCGUAGCUUUUAAUGAUUAUGUAUGUGAUCACUGUGCCUACAUUCAUGUUUAUCAACGUCUUUGUAACACCCUAGCAUGACUUCAAUAUUCUCAUUUAUCUUUUAUUUUUAAAUUUGUGAUACAGCAAUUUUUAUGUAUGUGUGUCCCUCUUUUUAUGAUCUUUAUUUGCUUCUUGAAAGCAGUAGGUUAUCUGUCAUGUAAAUUUUCCCAGUUCUGGAUUUGGUUGCAUAGCAUCAAUUAAAUAUGUUCACCCAA
Homo sapiens (human) is the source of this 524-nucleotide long non-coding RNA. NCBI's taxonomy places the organism in Eukaryota, Metazoa, Chordata, Mammalia, Primates, Hominidae. The record is from Ensembl.